RNAcentral lists this ribosomal RNA (254 nucleotides) under uncultured bacterium. RNAcentral describes it as "partial 16S ribosomal RNA". It matches the Rfam family "Bacterial small subunit ribosomal RNA", at positions 524 to 776 of the family's 1533-position model. The record is from RNAcentral.
UACAGAGGGUGCGGGCGUUGUUCGGAAUUACUGGGCGUAAAGCGCGCGCAGGCGGCCUUUUAAGUCUGCUGGUGAAAUGCCGGGGCUCAACCCCGUGCCCGCCACAGAUACUGGGAGGCUGGAGACGAGUAGAGGCAAGCGGAAUUCCGGGUGUAGCGGUGGAAUGCGUAGAGAUCCGGAAGAACACCGGAGGCGAAGGCGGCUUGCUGGGCUCGGUCUGACGCUGAGGCGCGAAAGCGUGGGGAGCGAACAGG